UAGAGCGAGGGGCGGA
This 16-nucleotide transfer RNA is filed under the name Hoya nicholsoniae. RNAcentral describes it as "partial tRNA-His". The record is from RNAcentral. Lineage: Eukaryota; Viridiplantae; Streptophyta; Magnoliopsida; Gentianales; Apocynaceae.